Molecule: ribosomal RNA, 253 nt
Filed under: uncultured bacterium
Lineage: Bacteria
Description: partial 16S ribosomal RNA
Rfam family: Bacterial small subunit ribosomal RNA
Source: RNAcentral
UACGAAGGGGGCUAGCGUUGUUCGGAAUUACUGGGCGUAAAGCGCACGUAGGCGGAUAUUUAAGUCAGGGGUGAAAUCCUGGAGCUCAACUCCAGAACUGCCUUUGAUACUGAAGAUCUUGAGUUCGGGAGAGGUGAGUGGAACUGCGAGUGUAGAGGUGAAAUUCGUAGAUAUUCGCAAGAACACCAGUGGCGAAGGCGGCUCUCUGGACCGAUACUGACGCUGAGGCGCGAAAGCGUGGGGAGCAAACAGG